Molecule: ribosomal RNA, 253 nt
Filed under: uncultured bacterium
Lineage: Bacteria
Description: partial 16S ribosomal RNA
Rfam family: Bacterial small subunit ribosomal RNA
Source: RNAcentral
UACGGGGGGGGCAAGCGUUGUUCGGAAUUACUGGGCGUAAAGGGCUCGUAGGCGGCCAACUAAGUCAGACGUGAAAUCCCCGAGCUCAACUCGGGAACUGCGUCCGAUACUGGUGGGCUUGAAUCCGGGAGAGGGAUGCGGAAUUCCAGGUGUAGCGGUGAAAUGCGUAGAUAUCUGGAGGAACACCGGUGGCGAAGGCGGCAUCCUGGACCGGCAUUGACGCUGAGGCGCGAAAGCUAGGGGAGCAAACGGG